RNAcentral lists this ribosomal RNA (253 nucleotides) under uncultured bacterium. Its description in RNAcentral is "partial 16S ribosomal RNA". It matches the Rfam family "Bacterial small subunit ribosomal RNA", at positions 524 to 776 of the family's 1533-position model. The record is from RNAcentral.
UACAGGGGGGGCAAGCGUUGUUCGGAAUUACUGGGCGUAAAGGGCUCGUAGGCGGCCAACUAAGACGGACGUGAAAUCUCCAGGCUCAACCUGGGAACUGCGUCCGAUACUGGAUGGCUUGAAUCCGGGAGAGGGAUGCAGAAUUCCAGGUGUAGCGGUGAAAUGCGUAGAUAUCUGGAGGAAUACCGGUGGCGAAGGCGGCAUCCUGGACCGGCAUUGACGCUGAGGAGCGAAAGCCAGGGGAGCAAACGGG